UCUCCGUAGGUGAACCUGCGGAGGGAUCAUUACAGAGUUCUCGCCCUCACGGGUAGAUCUCCCACCCACUGUUAUCGUUACUGUCGUUUCUUUGGCGGGCCGCCGGGUCCCCGGCCGCCGGCGCCUAGCCGCCGGCGCGCGCCCGCCAGAGGCCUUCAAACUCUGAAUGUUAGUGUCGUCUGAGUACUAUAUAAUAGUUAAAACUUUCAACAACGGAUCUCUUGGUUCUG
RNAcentral lists this unclassified non-coding RNA (230 nucleotides) under plant metagenome. RNAcentral describes it as "partial contains small subunit ribosomal RNA, internal transcribed spacer 1, and 5.8S ribosomal RNA". The record is from RNAcentral.